This 253-nucleotide ribosomal RNA is filed under the name uncultured bacterium. RNAcentral describes it as "partial 16S ribosomal RNA". It matches the Rfam family "Bacterial small subunit ribosomal RNA", at positions 524 to 776 of the family's 1533-position model. The record is from RNAcentral.
AACGUAGGAGACAAACGUUAUCCGGAGUUACUGGGCGUAAAGGGCGUGUAGGUGGUUUCGUAAGUCUGGCGUGAAAUAUCUCGGCUUAACCGAGGCAGGUCGUCGGAUACUGCGGGACUAGAGGACGGUAGAGGCGUGUGGAAUUCCGGGUGUAGUGGUGAAAUGCGUAGAGAUCCGGAGGAACACCAGUGGCGAAGGCGGUGAGCUGGGCAGUAGCUGACACUGAGGCGCGACAGCGUGGGGAGCAAACAGG